UACGAAGGGGGCUAGCGUUGCUCGGAAUCACUGGGCGUAAAGGGCGCGUAGGCGGCCAUUCAAGUCGGGGGUGAAAGCCUGUGGCUCAACCACAGAAUUGCCUUCGAUACUGUUUGGCUUGAGUUUGGUAGAGGUUGGUGGAACUGCGAGUGUAGAGGUGAAAUUCGUAGAUAUUCGCAAGAACACCAGUGGCGAAGGCGGCCAACUGGACCAACACUGACGCUGAGGCGCGAAAGCGUGGGGGAGCAAACAGGG
This 255-nucleotide ribosomal RNA is filed under the name uncultured bacterium. Its description in RNAcentral is "partial 16S ribosomal RNA". It matches the Rfam family "Bacterial small subunit ribosomal RNA", at positions 524 to 777 of the family's 1533-position model. The record is from RNAcentral.